UCAAAAUAUUUUGUGAACUAAAGAAAAUGUUUAGUGGGUGUGUUGGAAACGAGGAUGAAUACCAUAUGCAUGGUUCUGAUCAACAUUUAUUCAACAUUUAUUCAGCAUUUAUUGAGCAUUUAUUGAGAGGGAAAGUAGGCAUGAAAUAACUCAACCACUCCAUGUGACUUGUCGUUUCUUCAUUAAACCUCCUCCAUCCCCUAUUUUACUUUAGAUGUUUAAAUUGCGAGUUCAUUUUCGUAGCCUCUUGUGUGUUCAUUAAUAGUGAUGAGGGCAAGUUGGAUCUUUAGCUUUUUCUUUGGCUUCUUUCUCAUCUUCUCAUCCAUGCUUCUCAAACUCAUAAUUUUCCUACAUCGAUCAAAUCUAUCAACCACAUGGACCAACAAAGAAUCUUCUCUCCCUUCAAUGGGAUAAGCAAUAUCGGCUCAAGGACCGAAAGGAUUGGGGUCAUCCUUGAAGAACACAACUUUUCUUGUGGCUUCUUCUGGAAAGGAAGCUGUAAAUCUUACCUCUUUGUCAUUCUUCUCAAUCAAUAUGAUCUGGUGGUUUUUUGAUCAGCCAACCGAGACAAUCCGGUCAAUCCGGUCAGGGAAGAGUGUCUGAAGUUGCCCAUGCAAAGCAACUCUAUUCAAGUACCAAGAUCACUAGACCAAUGGAAGAUUAUUCUUGAUAUGCCAAAGGUUUAGCAUAUCUCCAUGAAGAUUGUAGACAAAAUAUCAUCCACCUCGAUAUUAAAACACAAAACAUACUCCUAGACGAGGAUUUCAAUGCAAAAUUAUCUGAUUUUGGGUUGUUUAAGUUUGUGGAUAGAGAUCAAAGCCAAGUGAUAACUACAAUGAGAGGAACCCUGGCUAUCUGGCUCCAGAAUGGUUGGGCUCAAUUAUCAACGAAAAAGGUGGAAACUUGAUGUCGAAUAUUACAUUGUUGUUUAAAUAUUUUGUAAUCAUCUGAAAUUUAUCUCAAUAUGGUACUUGAAAUACGUGCUUUUAAGCUUGAUUUUAAGCUCGUUACACUCA
This is a long non-coding RNA of Lactuca sativa (garden lettuce), 1016 nucleotides long. RefSeq lists it as uncharacterized. NCBI's taxonomy places the organism in Eukaryota, Viridiplantae, Streptophyta, Magnoliopsida, Asterales, Asteraceae. The record is from RefSeq and is a predicted model, not a curated record.